Molecule: ribosomal RNA, 135 nt
Filed under: Mesocricetus auratus (golden hamster)
Lineage: Eukaryota; Metazoa; Chordata; Mammalia; Rodentia; Cricetidae
Source: RNAcentral
AUCUACAACCAUACCACCCUGAACAUGCCUGAUCUCGUCUGAUCUCAGGAGCUAAGCAGGGUCAGGCCUGGUUAGUACUUGGGAGAAUAAACCCAAAUAUAUCAAUACCUACAUGGCCUAAAGGAGAUGGGCAUA